This 559-nucleotide ribosomal RNA is filed under the name Alternaria alternata. RNAcentral's name for it is "eukaryotic LSU rRNA". The stretch from base 186 to 339 matches the Rfam family "5.8S ribosomal RNA". The record is from RNAcentral. Lineage: Eukaryota; Fungi; Ascomycota; Dothideomycetes; Pleosporales; Pleosporaceae.
GACCUGCGGAGGGAUCAUUACACAAAUAUGAAGGCGGGCUGGAACCUCUCGGGGUUACAGCCUUGCUGAAUUAUUCACCCUUGUCUUUUGCGUACUUCUUGUUUCCUUGGUGGGUUCGCCCACCACUAGGACAAACAUAAACCUUUUGUAAUUGCAAUCAGCGUCAGUAACAAAUUAAUAAUUACAACUUUCAACAACGGAUCUCUUGGUUCUGGCAUCGAUGAAGAACGCAGCGAAAUGCGAUAAGUAGUGUGAAUUGCAGAAUUCAGUGAAUCAUCGAAUCUUUGAACGCACAUUGCGCCCUUUGGUAUUCCAAAGGGCAUGCCUGUUCGAGCGUCAUUUGUACCCUCAAGCUUUGCUUGGUGUUGGGCGUCUUGUCUCUAGCUUUGCUGGAGACUCGCCUUAAAGUAAUUGGCAGCCGGCCUACUGGUUUCGGAGCGCAGCACAAGUCGCACUCUCUAUCAGCAAAGGUCUAGCAUCCAUUAAGCCUUUUUUUCAACUUUUGACCUCGGAUCAGGUAGGGAUACCCGCUGAACUUAAGCAUAUCAAUAGCGGAGGA